ACACUCCUACGGGAGGCAGCAGUGGGGAAUUUUACGCAAUGGGGGAAACCCUGACGUAGCGACACCGCGUGAGCGAAGAAGCCCUUUGGGGUGUAAAGCUCUGUCAGCUGGAACGAAAACAAUGACGGUACCAGCAGAGGAAGCAUCGGCUAACUACGUGCCAGCAGCCGCGGUAAGACGUAGGAUGCGAGCGUUGUCCGGAUUUAUUGGGCGUAAAGAGUUCGUAGGUGGUUUGUUAAGUUUGGUGUUAAAGAUCGGGGCUCAACCCUGGGACUGCACUGAAUACUGGCAGACUCGAGUGUGGUAGAGGCUAGUGGAAUUCCCAGUGUAGCGGUGAAAUGCGUAGAUAUUGGGAAGAACACCGGUGGCGUAGGCGACUAGCUGGGCCAUAACUGACGCUGAGGAACGAAAGCCAGGGGAGCGAAUGGGAUUAGAAACCCUGUAGUCCC
This 449-nucleotide ribosomal RNA is filed under the name uncultured organism. RNAcentral's name for it is "partial 16S ribosomal RNA". It matches the Rfam family "Bacterial small subunit ribosomal RNA", at positions 333 to 797 of the family's 1533-position model. The record is from RNAcentral.